Molecule: unclassified non-coding RNA, 346 nt
Filed under: soil metagenome
Description: partial contains 5.8S ribosomal RNA, internal transcribed spacer 2, and large subunit ribosomal RNA
Rfam family: 5.8S ribosomal RNA (bases 1-120)
Source: RNAcentral
GAUGAAGAACGCAGCGAAAUGCGAUAAGUAAUGUGAAUUGCAGAAUUCCGUGAAUCAUCGAAUCUUUGAACGCACAUUGCGCCCCCUGGUAUUCCGGGGGGCAUGCCUGUCCGAGCGUCAUUGCAACCUUCAAGCGCGGCUUGUGUGUUGGGCCCCGUCCUCCGAUCCCGGGGGACGGGCCCGAAAGGCAGCGGCGGCACCGCGUCCGGUCCUCGAGCGUAUGGGGCUUUGUCACCCGCUCUGUAGGCCCGGCCGGCGCUUGCCGAUCAACCCAAAUUUUUAUCCAGGUUGACCUCGGAUCAGGUAGGGAUACCCGCUGAACUUAAGCAUAUCAAUAAGCGGAGGA